RNAcentral lists this ribosomal RNA (205 nucleotides) under uncultured bacterium. RNAcentral's name for it is "partial 16S ribosomal RNA". It matches the Rfam family "Bacterial small subunit ribosomal RNA", at positions 524 to 728 of the family's 1533-position model. The record is from RNAcentral.
UACGUAGGGUGCAAGCGUUAAUCGGAAUUACUGGGCGUAAAGCGUGCGCAGGCGGUGAUGUAAGACAGAUGUGAAAUCCCCGGGCUCAACCUGGGAACUGCAUUUGUGACUGCAUCGCUGGAGUGCGGCAGAGGGGGAUGGAAUUCCGCGUGUAGCAGUGAAAUGCGUAGAUAUGCGGAGGAACACCGAUGGCGAAGGCAAUCCC